Molecule: unclassified non-coding RNA, 376 nt
Filed under: uncultured Gammaproteobacteria bacterium
Lineage: Bacteria; Pseudomonadati; Pseudomonadota; Gammaproteobacteria
Description: contains 16S-23S intergenic spacer region
Source: RNAcentral
UCCGGUUUGUCACCGGCAGUCUCAUUAGAGUGCUCAACUUAAUGUAGCAACUAAUGACAAGGGUUGCGCUCGUUGCGGGACUUAACCCAACAUCUCACGACACGAGCUGACGACAGCCAUGCAGCACCUGUGUUCUGGUUCUCUUUCGAGCACAUCCAACUUUCAUCGGACUUCCAGACAUGUCAAGGGUAGGUAAGGUUUUUCGCGUUGCAUCGAAUUAAUCCACAUCAUCCACCGCUUGUGCGGGUCCCCGUCAAUUCCUUUGAGUUUUAAUCUUGCGACCGUACUCCCCAGGCGGUCAACUUCACGCGUUAGCUGCGUUACCAAGUCAAUUAAGACCCGACAACUAGUUGACAUCGUUUAGGGCGUGGACUAC